Camelina sativa (false flax) is the source of this 729-nucleotide long non-coding RNA. RefSeq lists it as uncharacterized. NCBI's taxonomy places the organism in Eukaryota, Viridiplantae, Streptophyta, Magnoliopsida, Brassicales, Brassicaceae. The record is from RefSeq and is a predicted model, not a curated record.
UGAGUUAUUUGUUCAAUUGUCUAAAGCAGCUAGCAAAAUUGAAAACUGUUGAAGAGGUUUAUUCACUUGUGCAGUCUCUUACUUUCGAAGAACGACCAAAACAAAUUAUCAUUCCCAAAAAAAUGCUAAAUCUUUUUGAGACUCGCUUGGUGGAUUUCCCAAACAUUGGGAUAAAGGCAAGUGAACUCCUCCUGUUUCCGGCUUUUCUUAAGAGAGGGGAAUUCAGUGAUCUCAUAUCAGAAGCCGCCAAACCAAUGAUGGUGCGCUUCUUUGUGUAUGACGAUUGGUUGGAGAGUGUGACUUCGCAAGUGGCUUUCUCAAGACUCAUUCUGAUCCUUCGUCCUCUUCAUGUAAACACUGAGAGGGCAAAUCUGUUGUUGAAGCCCGAAGAGUCUGUUGUCACUGCACCAAAACAUCUCUGGCCCCCCCUUUACCGUAGAUGAAUGGAUGAAGGUAGAGUUUUAUCUGAGUGAUCUCAUUUACCCUGGCUACGUCAAGCAGAGCACUAUUCUCACAAGAUGAAAAGCUCGGUUGCUGUGUUGGGUGGAAUGUGGAAGAAUCUCAAAGCUGGAAUUGUGUACAUAGAGAUGAAAUCAACCUUCAACCUUCAUAUCCAUGCCAACAUACUCAAAUGUCAUUACAAAGGUUUCAUGAAGGCAAUGCUUCUGGAUAUAAAAUUGUAUGUAAUAAACUGAAAAUGAGAAACAGAGUCAAAGGUGGGUUUGGGCG